This 305-nucleotide ribosomal RNA is filed under the name uncultured bacterium. RNAcentral describes it as "bacterial SSU rRNA". It matches the Rfam family "Bacterial small subunit ribosomal RNA", at positions 334 to 635 of the family's 1533-position model. The record is from RNAcentral.
UUGUGCCUACGGGACGCAGCAGUGAGGAAUAUUGGUCAAUGGGCGAGAGCCUGAACCAGCCACGUCGCGUGAAGGAUGAAGGAGCUAUGGUUUGUAAUCUUCUUUUAUAUGGGAAUAAAGUGAGGAACGUGUUCCUUUUUGUAUGUACCAUAUGAAUAAGCAUCGGCUAACUCCGUGCCAGCAGCCGCGGUAAUACGGAGGAUGCGAGCGUUAUCCGGAUUUAUUGGGUUUAAAGGGUGCGUAGGUGGUUAAUUAAGUCAGCGGUGAAAGUUUGUGGCUCAACCAUAAAAUUGCCGUUGAAACUG